AAGCUUCGGGGAGCUGCAAAUAAGCAUUGAUCCGGAGAUUUCUGAAUGAGGAAACUCACCUGGGUUCAUACUCAGGUACGUUAUACUGAACUUCAAAAUAGGUAUAUCGAGGGAACCGCCUGAACUGAAACAUCUAAGUAGGGCGAGGAAGAGACAUCAAACGAGAUUCCGUAAGUAGUGGCGAGCGAACGCGGAAGAGGGCAAACCGAGAGUAGAAAUACUUUCGGGGUACGGACUGCUUUUAGGACUUAAUCUGUUAACCGAACGGCAUGGGAAGGCCGGUCAGAGAGUGUGAGAACCACGUAGGUGAAAACGGAGAGAGCUGCGCAGGAUCCAGAGUACGGCCAGACACGUGAAACCUGGUCGGAAUACGGGGGGACCACCCUCCAACCCUAAAUACUACCCAGUGACCGAUAGCGUAUAGUACUGUGAAGGAAAGGUGAAAAGCACCCCGGGAGGGGAGUGAAAAAGAACCUGAAACCCUGUGCCUACAAGCACCUAGAGCGCGUCAAAGCGUGAUAGGGUACUUUUUGUAGAACGGUCCGGCGAGCGAUUGUAUGCAGCAAGGUUAAGGACUUAAGGUCUGGAGCCGAAGCGAAAGCGAGUUUGAAAAGGGCGUUAAGUUGCAUAUAAUGGGCCCGAAACCGGGUGACCUACCCAUGGUCAGGUUGAAGUGGAAGUAAAAUUCCAUGGAGGACCGAACCGACCUCCGUUGAAAAGGCGGCGGAUGAACUGUGGGUAGCGGAGAAAUUCCAAUCGAACCCGGAGAUAGCUGGUUCUCCCCGAAAUAGUUUUAGGACUAGCCUCAAGUUAGAUACCUGGAGGUAAAGCACUGAAUAGCCUAGCGGCCGAGAGGUUAGCGAAGCUUAUCAAACUCAGAAUGCCAGAGUAUUGAUGCUUGGGAGUCAGACAGUGUCAGAUAAAUGUCAUUGUCAAAAGGGAAACAGCCCAGAUCUACAGCUAAGGUCCCAAAGUCAGGUUAAGUGGAAAACGAUGUGAAGAUACGCAGACAACCAGGAUGUUGGCUCAGAAGCAGCCACUCAUUCAAAGAGUGCGUAAUAGCUCACUGGUCGAGCGUCUUUGCGCGGAGAAUUUAACGGGGCUAAACCUGACACCGAAGCUUAGGCAAUACAGCAAUGUAUUGGGUAGGGGAGCGUUGUAUACGCGGUGAAACAGUAGCGCAAGCGGCUGUGGAGUGUAUAGAAGUGAGAAUGCCGGAAUGAGUAGCGCGAAUGCAGUGAGAAUCUGCAUGGCCGAAAGCCUCAGGUUUCUGGAGGAAGGUUCGUCCGCUCCAGGUCAGUCGGGAGCUAAGGUGAGGCCUAACGGCGUAGCCGAUGCACAGACGGUAGAGAUUCCGUCACCACCAAAAGAGUUAAGCACAGGGACACAUAUGAAGUCUCGGAGCCGGGUGUUGGUUCCGGUAGCGAUCGAGGGAAGUUAGUACCGAAGUCCGGGAUGGAAGAUGGCGAGAAAAGCUGUGUGGAUUUCUGCGGUGCCCGUACCGCAAACCGACACAGGUAGGUAGGAAGAAGAUUCUAAGGCCAACGGGAGAAGGGUUGUUAAGGAACUCGGCAAAUUGACCCCGUAACUUCGGGAGAAGGGGUGCUGCAGCAAUGCAGCCGCAGAGAAUCGGCCCAAGCAACUGUUUACCAAAAACACAGGUUUGUGCUAAAUCGAAAGAUGACGUAUACGAGCUGACGCCUGCCCGGUGCUGGAAGGUUAAGAGGAGAUGUGCAAGCAUUGAAUCGAAGCCCCAGUGAACGGCGGCCGUAACUAUAACGGUCCUAAGGUAGCGAAAUUCCUUGUCAGGUAAGUUCUGACCCGCAUGAAAGGCGUAAUGAUUUGGGCACUGUCUCAACAGCCCGCCCGGCGAAAUUGUAGUACCGGUGAAGAUGCCGGUUACCCGCGACAAGACGGAAAGACCCCAUGGAGCUUUACUGUAGCCUAAUAUUGGGUUUCGAUGUUGCAUGCACAGGAUAGAUGGGACACUGGGAAGCAGGUGCUUUGGCGCUUGUGGAGUGGCCGUUGGGAUACCAUCCUUGCGAUAUUGGAAUUCUAACCUGCGCCUUUGAAUCAAGGCGGGGGACAUUGUUAGGUGGGCAGUUUGACUGGGGCGGUCGCCUCCUAAAGAGUAACGGAGGCGUUCAAAGGUUCGCUCAGCUUGAACGGAAAUCAAGCAAAAGAGUGCAAACGCAGAAGCGAGCCUAACUGCGAGACUGACGGGUCGAGCAGUAACGAAAGUUGGAGUUAGUGAUCCGGUGGUAUGUGAGUGGAAAUGCCAUCGCUCAACGGAUAAAAGUUACCCUGGGGAUAACAGGCUGAUCUCCCCCAAGAGUCCACAUCGACGGGGAGGUUUGGCACCUCGAUGUCGGCUCAUCGCAUCCUGGGGCUGUAUUCGGUCCCAAGGGUUUGGCUGUUCGCCAAUUAAAGCGGUACGCGAGCUGGGUUCAGAACGUCGUGAGACAGUUCGGUCCCUAUCUGUCGUGGGCGCAGGAUAUUUGAUGGGAGCUGUUCCUAGUACGAGAGGACCGGAGCGGACGUACCUCUGGCGCACCAGUUGUUCUGCCAAGAGCAUAGCUGGGCAACUAUGUACGGAUCGGAUAAACGCUGAAAGCAUCUAAGCGUGAAGCCGACCCAAAGAUAAGAUAUCCCAUUGUUUCAAACAAGUAAGACCCCUUGAAGACUACAAGGUUGAUAGGCACGAUGUGUAAGUGGAGCGAUCCAUUCAGCAAGCGUGUACUAAUAGGUCGAGGGCUUGACCAC
This 2763-nucleotide ribosomal RNA is filed under the name human gut metagenome. Its description in RNAcentral is "bacterial LSU rRNA". It matches the Rfam family "Bacterial large subunit ribosomal RNA". The record is from RNAcentral.